RNAcentral lists this ribosomal RNA (332 nucleotides) under uncultured bacterium. RNAcentral's name for it is "bacterial SSU rRNA". It matches the Rfam family "Bacterial small subunit ribosomal RNA", at positions 28 to 334 of the family's 1533-position model. The record is from RNAcentral.
GACGAACGCUGGCGGCGUGCCUAACACAUGCAAGUCGAACGGAACUUAUCGAAUGAAGUUUUCGGAUGGAUUUUGGUAAGUUUAGUGGCGGACGGGUGAGUAACACGUAGGUAACCUGCCCCGGAGCGGGGAGUAACAGUUUGGAAACGAGAUGCUAAUACCGCAUAACAACAAAAGCCGCAUGGCUUUUGUUUGAAAGAUGGCUUUGGCUAUCACUCUGGGAUGGACCUGCGGUGCAUUAGCUAGUUGGUAAGGUAACGGCUUACCAAGGCGAUGAUGCAUAGCCGAGUUGAGAGACUGAUCGGCCACAAUGGAACUGAGACACGGUCCAU